AGUGAACGCUGGCGGUAGGCCUAACACAUGCAAGUCGAACGGCAGCACAGUAAGAGCUUGCUCUUACGGGUGGCGAGUGGCGGACGGGUGAGGAAUACAUCGGAAUCUACUUUUUCGUGGGGGAUAACGUAGGGAAACUUACGCUAAUACCGCAUACGACCUACGGGUGAAAGCAGGGGAUCUUCGGACCUUGCGCGAUUGAAUGAGCCGAUGUGGGAUUAGCUAGUUGGCGGGGUAAAGGCCCACCAAGGCGGCGAUCCGUAGCUGGUCUGAGAGGAUGAUAGGCCACACUGGAACUUGGACACGGUCAAGACGCCUACGGGAGGCAGCAGUGGGGAAUAUUGGACAGUGGGCGCGAGCCUGAUCCAGCGAUACCGCGUGGGUGAAGAAGGCCUUCGGGUUGUAAAGCCCUUUUGUUGGGAAAGAAAAGCAGCAGGUUAAUACCACGCUGUUCUGACGGUACCCAAAGAAUAAGCACCGGCUAACUUCGUG
RNAcentral lists this ribosomal RNA (492 nucleotides) under uncultured bacterium. RNAcentral's name for it is "partial 16S ribosomal RNA". It matches the Rfam family "Bacterial small subunit ribosomal RNA", at positions 29 to 507 of the family's 1533-position model. The record is from RNAcentral.